GAGUUUGAUCCUAGCUCAGGAUGAACGCCGGCGGUGUGCCUAAUACAUGCAAGUCGUACGCACUGGCCCAACUGAUUGAUGGUGCUUGCACCUGAUCGACGAUGGAUCACCAGUGAGUGGCGGACGGUGAGUAACACGUAGGUAACCUGCCCUGUACAGGGGAUAACAAUCAGAAAUGACUGCUAAUACCGCAUAAGACCACAGCACCGCAUGGUGCAGGGGUAAAAACUCCGGUGGUACAGGAUGGACCCGCGUCUGAUUAGCUGGUUGGUGAGGUAACGGCUCACCAAGGCGACGAUCAGUAGCCGGCUUGAGAGAGUGAACGGCCACAUUGGGACUGAGACACGGCCCAAAACUCCUACGGGAGGCAGC
This 372-nucleotide ribosomal RNA is filed under the name uncultured microorganism. RNAcentral's name for it is "bacterial SSU rRNA". It matches the Rfam family "Bacterial small subunit ribosomal RNA", at positions 9 to 352 of the family's 1533-position model. The record is from RNAcentral.